This 669-nucleotide ribosomal RNA is filed under the name Clostridiales bacterium Bal55. RNAcentral's name for it is "bacterial SSU rRNA". It matches the Rfam family "Bacterial small subunit ribosomal RNA", at positions 340 to 1020 of the family's 1533-position model. Lineage: Bacteria; Bacillati; Bacillota; Clostridia; Eubacteriales. The record is from RNAcentral.
UACGGGAGGCAGCAGUGGGGGAUUUUCCGCAAUGGGCGAAAGCCUGACGGAGCGAUGCCGCGUGAGCGAAGAAGGCCUUCGGGUCGUAAAGCUCUGUCCAGGGGGAAGAAGAGGUGACGGUACCCCUGGAGGAAGCCCCGGCUAACUACGUGCCAGCAGCCGCGGUAACACGUAGGGGGCGAGCGUUGUCCGGAAUUACUGGGCGUAAAGCGCGCGUAGGCGGCCGAGCAAGUCAGGGGUGAAAGCCGGCGGCUCAACCGCAGGAGUGUUCUUGAAACUGCUCGGCUUGAGGGCAGGAGAGGGGAGUGGAAUUCCCAGUGUAGCGGUGAAAUGCGUAGAUAUUGGGAGGAACACCAGUGGCGAAGGCGGCUCUCUGGCCUGGACCUGACGCUGAGGCGCGAAAGCGUGGGGAGCGAACAGGAUUAGAUACCCUGGUAGUCCAGCGCCUGUAAACGAUGGGUGCUAGGUGUUGGUGUCGCUGAGGCAUCAGUGCCGUAGUCUAACGCGAUAAGUCACCCCGCCUGGGGAGUACGGUCGCAAGACUGAAACUCAAAGGAAUUGACGGGGGCCCGCACAAGCGGUGGAGCAUGUGGUUUAAUUCGACGCAACCCGAAGAACCUUACCAGGGCUUGACAUCCCGCGACAGCCGUACAGAUACGGUUUUCCAUA